Talpa occidentalis (Iberian mole) is the source of this 537-nucleotide long non-coding RNA. RefSeq lists it as uncharacterized. The record is from RefSeq and is a predicted model, not a curated record. The transcript is spliced from 3 exons. NCBI's taxonomy places the organism in Eukaryota, Metazoa, Chordata, Mammalia, Eulipotyphla, Talpidae.
ACAGGAGGGUCACUGUUGUCUGGAGGCAGGUGGAGGCUGAGGACAAACUGAGAAACCUAUGAAAACCAUGAGCUAAUCUGGCACAGUCGACCAGUGCCUGGUUUAAGACUGCAGGAGAUUAAGAUUUGGAAGCCCGAGGAGCUCAGUUUGUCAAACCACAUUGCUCAGACAAUUCAAUUUCCUGUCGUUCUCCAGGAUUUGCCCAGUAUCACCACCUCGUUCUUGUUCCCCUCCUGCAGAGUGGAAGAGCAGAGAAAGAAAAGUGAAAGAAGUAAAGAUGUUGGCUGGAGCCUGCCACCUCUUUCAGAGAGAACGUUAGAUCACCCUGAAAGUUGCUGCUUUUAGAAGUGCCAGUUUUACAAAGCCUGUCUACCUGUGGAUAUUUUCUGGUGGCUGACAAUAACUGGGACAUGUUUGUCGAAUAAGUAAAUGCAAGUCAUGGUGAGCGUUGGUUGCUGAAGACUGAGGCCAAGUCCCUCUCCAGCAAGUGCCCCUUUAAGGGAGCUGCCUCACGUAAGCAUAUACGCCCUCUUGCAC